This 329-nucleotide ribosomal RNA is filed under the name uncultured bacterium. RNAcentral describes it as "bacterial SSU rRNA". It matches the Rfam family "Bacterial small subunit ribosomal RNA", at positions 30 to 355 of the family's 1533-position model. The record is from RNAcentral.
AUUGAACGCUGGCGGCAUGCUUUACACAUGCAAGUCGAACGGUAACAGGGAGCUUGCUCCGCUGACGAGUGGCGAACGGGUGAGUAAUGCAUCGGAACGUACCCAGUCGUGGGGGAUAACGUAGCGAAAGUUACGCUAAUACCGCAUACGUCCUGAGGGAGAAAGCGGGGGACCGGAAAGGCCUCGCGCGAUUGGAGCGGCCGAUGUCGGAUUAGCUAGUUGGUAGGGUAAAGGACCUACCAAGGCGACGAUCCGUAGCGGGUCGUGAGAGGAUGAUCCGCCACACUGGGACUGAGACACGGCCCAGACUCCUACGGGAGGCGAGCAGU